This 245-nucleotide ribosomal RNA is filed under the name Klebsiella pneumoniae. RNAcentral describes it as "partial 16S ribosomal RNA". It matches the Rfam family "Bacterial small subunit ribosomal RNA", at positions 122 to 369 of the family's 1533-position model. Lineage: Bacteria; Pseudomonadati; Pseudomonadota; Gammaproteobacteria; Enterobacterales; Enterobacteriaceae. The record is from RNAcentral.
GAAACUGCCUGAUGGAGGGGGAUAACUACUGGAAACGGUAGCUAAUACCGCAUAAUGUCGCAAGACCAAAGUGGGGGACCUUCGGGCCUCAUGCCAUCAGAUGUGCCCAGAUGGGAUUAGCUUGUAGGUGGGGUAACGGCUCACCUAGGCGACGAUCCCUAGCUGGUCUGAGAGGAUGACCAGCCACACUGGAACUGAGACACGGUCCAGACUCCUACGGGAGGCAGCAGUGGGGAAUAUUGCAC